Molecule: transfer RNA, 71 nt
Filed under: pig gut metagenome
Rfam family: tRNA
About the family: Transfer RNA (tRNA) molecules are approximately 80 nucleotides in length. Their secondary structure includes four short double-helical elements and three loops (D, anti-codon, and T loops).
Source: RNAcentral
GGGAUAUGGCUCAGUUGGUAGAGCGCCUCGUUCGCAACGAGGAGGCCAGCGGUUCGAAUCCGCUUAUCUCC